UGGGGAAUUUUGGACAAUUGGGUAAACCCUGAUCCAGCCAUCCCGCGUGUGCGAUGAAGGCCUUCGGGUUGUAAAGCACUUUUGGCAGGAAAGAAACGUCAUGGGUUAAUACCCCGUGAAACUGACGGUACCUGCAGAAUAAGCACCGGCUAACUACGUGCCCGCAGCCGCGGUAAUACGUAGGGUGCAAGCGUUAAUCGGAAUUACUGGGCGUAAAGCGUGCGCAGGCGGUUCGGAAAGAAAGAUGUGAAAUCCCAGAGCUAAACUUUGGAACUGCAUUUUUAACUACCGGGCUAGAGUGUGUCAGAGGGAGGUGGAAUGCCGCGUGUAGCAGUGAAAUGCGUAGAUAUGCGGAGGAACAGCGAUGGAGAAGGCAGCCUCCUGGGAUAACACUGACGCUCAUGCACGAAAGGGUGGGGAGCAAACAGG
RNAcentral lists this ribosomal RNA (429 nucleotides) under Acidobacteriota bacterium. RNAcentral's name for it is "Acidobacteria bacterium partial 16S ribosomal RNA". It matches the Rfam family "Bacterial small subunit ribosomal RNA", at positions 355 to 776 of the family's 1533-position model. Lineage: Bacteria; Pseudomonadati; Acidobacteriota. The record is from RNAcentral.